UCGGUGCCACUGGUCGGUAUGAAUACAAAUCGCCUGCACCAAAUGGUUCAUAACUCCUUGCUCGCUGGUCCGAACCUCGAUCUUCCAACUUUGUGAUCCAGAUGACGUCUUUAGCUACAAGUUUUGUGAAGGGCUCGAGCUUAGGUAACGUAGGAAAAGGCUCCGUUCCGCCAGUUCUUUGACGCGCGUUGCUUUGGUCUUUUAUCGGCUCCGAGACAUGCACUGCUUCCGAUCGCCGUAACUUUCAGCUCCCAACUCCAAAUAGGACGAUCUCAAGUGUUCUGGAAACUCGACUCGACCCUCUUGAUUCUUGAUGAAUACUUCGGAAGCUGAAUCACAGUUCAAGUCCUCCGUCUCACGCGAUCAAAGUAAAGGUAUCGUUGGCUCCAAAGAAUUUGUCCGGGUUGUUGCACACAGGUGAGAGUCUCUCCAUGAUCCCAGCUCCAAGUUGAUCCCAAAAUUCUCCAAAUGACCUGUAAACACUCCAAAAAUGCAGGACUCUCUAGGACCUAAUGCAAAUUUCCCAAACAAAGCUAGAACCAAAGACAAACUCUAAUAAAACUAGCUAAAUGUAUGCAUGAGACUCAAUAUUUGGACAAAAAUGCAAUCCUAAACAUGACAAAUUAUGAAUAUAUCAACUCCCCCACACUUUUCCUUUGCUUGCCCUCAAGCAAACAAGAAAAAAUGAGAGAGAGAGAGAGAUUGAAUGCAUGGGAGUUCAUAUUUCUUUAAAGAGAGAUCAUCAUUAAAAGAAUUCAAAGCUCAUUGUUCAAGUUACCAAUUCUAGACUGCAAUGCAAACUGGUUCACUCAUAAAAAUUAGCCAUACUUGUCACCAAAUGAACCAAACUCAAGCACCAACCUUCACAAGCAUUCCUAACCUCAACCUUUUGACAUUCAUUUAAAGUUUCAAGUGGAUCAUGUUCAUGCAAAUCAAGUGAAUUCAUUUGGCUUGGGACUGGGUUUUGAGAUUAAAAUGAUCUCAAUCAAGUAACUGGUACUCCAUGCAAGGGGAUCACUCAAAAAUUAGUAGACUUUAGUAAAAUGCUAAGGAUAAAAAGCAAUGGAUGCAUACAAAGAUAGAACUACAUCUACCCCACACCCAAAAUGCUUUUCACAUUCAACCUUAAACCUCUCAAGAUUCUUUCUCUAGUCUACUCACCCCAAAUGGCAUUUUGCCUUUGACAAUCAGCUCUCAUCACUCUCUUCAUUUCAUCUCUUAGGGGAAUGCUUUCUUUAACAACCACUCAGUGAGUUUCUUUUCUUUAACACACAAGCUCUUCCUUAAUCCAGCCUCUUUUUGAAUCUUUUCUUUUUCUUUUCAUGAGACUCUUUUCAUUUCAACACAUGAGCUUUAUAUUCCAGCACACACUCACUUUCUUUCAUUUAAGCAUUCAUUCCCCUAACCAAUCCGGUUCUUUCCACUUUCAUCACUCAGAUUUUUUUUUCUUUUCAGCUCACACACUCAAAAUCAAUGCUCUCACUUUCACCUAAACCUAGACUAGCCCUUGAUGUUGGACUAGUGUCUACAUGCAGCACUAUCUUUGUCGCUCUAAACCCAACACUUUUUACCAAGUCUACUAGAAACAAGGCCUCACAAAUCAUGCACACAGGAAGGGUGUUUAGGCUUCAAAGAAAGGUUUGGCUAAAGGUAGGGAACUGUCUCAAGAUGAGAGAUCAGCUAUUUGAGCUAGCAAGAGUGAUUAAAAGGGAUAAGAAAGCUCAAAUAUGUAUGUGGUACCCAUGAAUUCACAAUGAUAUGCACAAACAUGAUAAUUAGAUGUCAAAUUCAAGGGUUCUCACUUAAGCAAGGUUGAGGCUAUUCACAACUUGAUUCAGCUAGCACAGAAGUAUUGAGACACCAGUUCAAAGCAUGGUUCACACUUGAUUUCAUACCAGUUUUGCAAUGCAUUAAAGGACCAAGCUCUUAAAAUGAUGCUCUCUUCAAGAAAAAAUCUAUCAUUACUCCCAUUUGCAUAUGAUGCAACCUAUAUGAAAAUGCAAACUAGACUCAACCUAAAAUGUGAAUGCAACUACAUGAGCUUUUUUUUUUUUGGAAUUUUUUCUGAUUUUUCGAUUUUUUUUGGUUUUUAUAUGCACUUAGAUGAAUGCAAAAUGAGACUCAAAGUGAAUAGGAAAAUAAGAGCAGAAUAAACAUGAUUAGUAAACAUAAAAUCCCUCCCCCACACUUAGAUAACACAGUCCCUUGUGUUAUAAAAGCAUGAAGGAGAAGUGCAAAGCAGAAUCACAAAAUGCAAAGUGAAAAUAUACUAAGCUAGAUGCAUAUUUACAAGGGUGGAGUGUUACCUUCUCAAGGACUUAGAGAUGGGGCUGGAGACCCCAUUGAGACAGAUGGAUUGGAGGAUUGGUCCGCUGGUGAUUGCAUUGACUCCCUCCUGGCCCUUAGCUCCUCUUCAUUCGGAUCUUGCUCACACGGACCGGCACAAAUACUCAACAGCUUUCCAUGGUAUGAACUUUCAGCGGCUUCACCUCUUUGGUACCUCUCAAGCUUGGCGUUCAGCUUCUUGAUCUUGGAACCCAUCUUCUUAACUGUGCACACCAGGCUCCUUACAGUACCGGCCAUCUUCUUAAAGUUCAUGACUUGCCAUUUGUUCCAACUCUAGAGAUUCUUGGUGCGGCGAUGAGCAGCUUCAGUGGCGUUGUUCAUCAUGGGGCCAUCAUAAGGAUCAAGACAAUACCCGCGGCUCCCAUAGAUUGGUCUUGGCAAUUCAGGCUCGGUAUCAACAUGGUUUGGCUCCUCAGCAGGUGUGUUCACACGCGGCUUCUUGGCAGCAUUGGGCUUUCUGAUCAGCUGAACAGGAGGGUGAAUCUCUGGGUUGUAGUACUGAUCCUUGGUGAUGUAAAAAGUAAUGUUCUUUCUCUCCGCAAGUGAGGUAAGGGCUGGAUUUGACAACAAGACUCUAGCAGUAAUCUUAUCUUCAAGAGUGAAGUUGCUUUAACAACCUUGGUUCAGGCAUUUCAUCAAACACUUUUGGUGCAUGAAAUGCCCAGAAUCUAGACCACAUAUGAUGUGUAUGGAUCUAGCAUUAAGAACAGGUUGUAGAGAAUGGAAUAUGAAUGAUCUAACCCCUAAGCUCACUAAUCUACCACCUAAGCACCCUAAUCUACAUAUCUAAGACCUUAAUAUGGGGAUUACUCACUAAUCAUGCUAAUCUCUCUUAAACCUUUGCAAGUUGAGAAGAUUGACAUGAUUAAUGAUGAGAAAUGUAGAUGGAGAAGAUAGAUAAUGAUGGAUUUGCAGCUUUAAAAACAAGAUCUCUCAAAAUCUCUUGAUUAAAACGUCCAAAAUCAGAUAUUUCUCUUCAAAAUGAGUUACACAAAAGAGACAAAGAGAUUAUGGAAUAAAGCUUAAGUCUGCUGGAUAAUGCUAAAACAUAUACAUAGUUAGGGUUUCUUGGUGGGCCAACGUAGAACAAACUAGGUCUUGGUCCCAAAAAGGCCCAUAAAAACGUUCUGGAUCGAGGUUGUAUCGACUGACUUUCGGUCGGUGCUUUUGGUCGGUGUGGCGUUAAGAAUCUCUUAGACAGAAUCUAGACCAGAACUUUACUCGGUGUUUUGCUCGGUGCCGCGUAAAGAAUAGCUUCAGGGGACGGACACCACCUGACUUUUACUCGGUGUGGCUCCUCUGCAUUCAUUCGGAAAAUUUGAACUCCAAGGAUCAGCAAAAGUCAGGUUUUUUUUGCAUUCAUACCAACUGACUUUCACUCGGUGCCACUGGUCGGUAUGAAUACAAAUUGCCUGCACCAAAUGGUUCAUAACUCCUUGCUCGCUGGUCCAAACCUCGAUCUUCAAACUCUAUGAGCCAGAAGACGUCUUUAGCUACAAGUUUCAUAAAGGGCUCGAGCUCAGGUGACGUUGGAAAAGGCUCCGUUCCGCCAGUUCUUUGACGCGCGUUGCUUUGGUCUUUUAUCGGCUCCGAGACAUGCACUGCUUCCGAUCGCCGUAACUUUCAGCUCAGAACUCCAAAUAGGACGAUCUCAAGUUUUCUGGAAACUAGACUCGACCCUCUUGAUUCUUGAUGAAGACUCCGGAAGCUGAAUCACAGUUCAAGUCCUCCGUCGCACGCGAUUAAAGUAAAGGUAUCGUUGGCUCCAAAGAAUUUGUCCGGGUUGUUGCACACAGGUGAGAGUCUCUCCAUGAUCCCAGCUCCAAGUUGAUCCCAAAAGUCUCCAAAUGACCUGUAAACACUCCAAAAAUACAGGACUCUCUAGGACCUAAUGCAAA
Molecule: long non-coding RNA, 4244 nt
Filed under: Eutrema salsugineum
Lineage: Eukaryota; Viridiplantae; Streptophyta; Magnoliopsida; Brassicales; Brassicaceae
Description: long non-coding RNA (ESAL_LNC002226)
Source: RNAcentral